Molecule: transfer RNA, 72 nt
Filed under: Heterocephalus glaber (naked mole-rat)
Lineage: Eukaryota; Metazoa; Chordata; Mammalia; Rodentia; Bathyergidae
Rfam family: tRNA
About the family: Transfer RNA (tRNA) molecules are approximately 80 nucleotides in length.
Source: Rfam by way of RNAcentral
AGGGAUGUAAUUCAGUGGUAGAACAUGUGCUUAGCAUGCAUAAAGCCCUGGGUUCAGUCUCCAGCACCACGA